GAUGAACGCUGGCGGCGUGCCUAAUACAUGCAAGUCGAGCGAACGGACGAGAAGCUUGCUUCUCUGAUGUUAGCGGCGGACGGGUGAGUAACACGUGGAUAACCUACCUAUAAGACUGGGAUAACUUCGGGAAACCGGAGCUAAUACCGGAUAAUAUUUUGAACCGCAUGGUUCAAAAGUGAAAGACGGUCUUGCUGUCACUUAUAGAUGGAUCCGCGCUGCAUUAGCUAGUUGGUAAGGUAACGGCUUACCAAGGCAACGAUGCAUAGCCGACCUGAGAGGGUGAUCGGCCACCCUGGAACUGAGACACGGUCCAGACUCCUACGGGAGGCAGCAGCAGGGAAUCUUCCGCAAUGGGCGAAAGCCUGACGGAGCAACGCCGCGUGAGUGAUGAAGGUCUUCGGAUCGUAAAACUCUGUUAUUAGGGAAGAACAUAUGUGUAAGUAACUGUGCACAUCUUGACGGUACCUAAUCAGAAAGCCACGGCUAACUACGUG
Molecule: ribosomal RNA, 497 nt
Filed under: uncultured bacterium
Lineage: Bacteria
Description: partial 16S ribosomal RNA
Rfam family: Bacterial small subunit ribosomal RNA
Source: RNAcentral